AUACCAGCUGGCUGCAACUGUUUAUUAAAAACACAGCACUGUGCAAACACGAAAGUGGACGUAUACGGUGUGACGCCUGCCCGGUGCCGGAAGGUUAAUUGAUGGGGUUAUCCGUAAGGAGAAGCUCUUGAUCGAAGCCCCGGUAAACGGCGGCCGUAACUAUAACGGUCCUAAGGUAGCGAAAUUCCUUGUCGGGUAAGUUCCGACCUGCACGAAUGGCGUAAUGAUGGCCAGGCUGUCUCCACCCGAGACUCAGUGAAAUUGAACUCGCUGUGAAGAUGCAGUGUACCCGCGGCAAGACGGAAAGACCCCGUGAACCUUUACUAUAGCUUGACACUGAACACUGGUCCUUGAUGUGUAGGAUAGGUGGGAGGCUUUGAAGUGUGGACGCCAGUCUGCAUGGAGCCAUCCUUGAAAUACCACCCUUUAAUGGCUGGUGUUCUAACGUGGACCCGUAAUCCGGGUUGCGGACAGUGUCUGGUGGGUAGUUUGACUGGGGCGGUCUCCUCCUAAAGAGUAACGGAGGAGCACGAAGGUUAGCUAAUCCUGGUCGGACAUCAGGAGGUUAGUGCAAAGGCAUAAGCUAGCUUGACUGCGAGAGUGACGGCUCGAGCAGGUGCGAAAGCAGGUCUUAGUGAUCCGGUGGUUCUGAAUGGAAGGGCCAUCGCUCAACGGAUAAAAGGUACUCCGGGGAUAACAGGCUGAUACCGCCCAAGAGUUCAUAUCGACGGCGGUGUUUGGCACCUCGAUGUCGGCUCAUCACAUCCUGGGGCUGAAGUAGGUCCCAAGGGUAUGGCUGUUCGCCAUUUAAAGUGGUACGCGAGCUGGGUUUAGAACGUCGUGAGACAGUUCGGUCCCUAUCUGCCGUGGGCGCUGGAGAAUUGAGGGGGGCUGCUCCUAGUACGAGAGGACCGGAGUGGACGCAUCACUGGUGUUCGGGUUGUCAUGCCAAUGGCAUUGCCCGGUAGCUAAAUGCGGAAGAGAUAAGUGCUGAAAGCAUCUAAGCACGAAACUUGCCCCGAGAUGAGUUCUCCCUGAGACUAUAAGUCUCCUGAAGGAACGUUGAAGACGACGACGUUGAUAGGUCGGGUGUGUAAGUGUAGCGAUACAUUGAGCUAACCGAUACUAAUGAACCGUGAGGCUUAACCUU
This 1150-nucleotide ribosomal RNA is filed under the name Citrobacter freundii. RNAcentral describes it as "partial 23S ribosomal RNA". It matches the Rfam family "Bacterial large subunit ribosomal RNA", at positions 1783 to 2925 of the family's 2925-position model. Lineage: Bacteria; Pseudomonadati; Pseudomonadota; Gammaproteobacteria; Enterobacterales; Enterobacteriaceae. The record is from RNAcentral.